Long non-coding RNA from Orussus abietinus, 1107 nucleotides. RefSeq lists it as uncharacterized. NCBI's taxonomy places the organism in Eukaryota, Metazoa, Arthropoda, Insecta, Hymenoptera, Orussidae. The transcript is spliced from 6 exons. The record is from RefSeq and is a predicted model, not a curated record.
CGCGUUUCGAGAACGUUCGACCCCCGCACCUGCCGUUUCCUAGGCGAGGAUCCUCGAAGAGGAGAUCGAUUUUGCGAGUCUGAAUUUCAGGACGCAUUAUCAGCGGCGCUCUCGAGUGUCAAGAUGAGACGAACCAGGCCAGUCGCUAACAGAUAAGUGCCGACAAACGCUUCGUGUAUGGAAUGCGCAACACAUGUACUCCACCGUUGCUCCGGCACUCGGUGUAUGCAGGGCUGACAUUUAAUGGCGAUUAUUAGAUGCAAGGGGCUCGAGGAGGAGUAAAGAAGAUGAGCGGAUUCGAGAGAUAACAGGGAAUCGUGAAAAGGGUUAUCGUUCGAGGUUCAUUGUCGGGGUUACGGCCAUUGGUUGACAUUGGGCUGAGUCAGGUAAUUCGAGGAUGACUCAGAUUUGUCAGUUAUCCUAAGCCAGGUGAUUGAGGGUACUCGAGAUAAUCCAAUUCUUAUCCCGACUCUAACGAUGAGAGGCCACUUCAAAAGGCCAAGUGCGACGAGUAACUCCAUCGUAUACAUCCGAUGCAAAGCGGAAUCUCUUCAGGGGUGUCCUCAUCCUUAAUUUAACGGAUUUGGAGUAAACAUCGACGCGAUUCAGAGGGAACGAAGAUCUCCCAGGCGAGCCCACGCGCGUAUAUUAAUACAUGUACUCUCGAUAUGUCGUGACCCAAGGAUAUCGUCUUGGUCGCAUGAUCAGCACGUGUUCGGUGCCGGAGGCGCCGAAGAUAAUUCCUGCAUAUAACUCGCGCGAGUACAUCGAGACGCAUUAAAGGGUGCAGGGAGGUCGGCGGAGAGUCAUCGAGGACGGUUCGCUAGUUCCGCGAUAUCCCGACAGAUGGUGCAUCGUUCGCUGCGGCGGGCGCUUCGCACGAUUUACUCCAUUCUAGAUGGGUAGGUACACUGGGAGUAGUACUAUCGUAUUUUUGCGCGGAUAAAUUCGAAUCGCGAAUGUAUGCGCGUUUACUCGCCAUCUAACUAGACAAAAGCCUCGAGAAGGCACAGCUUCCACUGUGAACUCUGCAUAAUAUACGAUAAAGGGAUAAAUAACCAUAAGGAGAUGGAGAUAUCAACGGUGCAAGAAUUUUCGGACUGAGAU